RNAcentral lists this ribosomal RNA (253 nucleotides) under uncultured bacterium. RNAcentral describes it as "partial 16S ribosomal RNA". It matches the Rfam family "Bacterial small subunit ribosomal RNA", at positions 524 to 776 of the family's 1533-position model. The record is from RNAcentral.
UACGUAGGGUGCAAGCGUUAAUCGGAAUUACUGGGCGUAAAGCGUGCGCAGGCGGUUAUGUAAGACAGGGGUGAAAUCCCCGGGCUUAACCUGGGAACUGCAUUUGUGACUGCAUAGCUAGAGUACGGUAGAGGGGGAUGGAAUUCCGCGUGUAGCAGUGAAAUGCGUAGAUAUGCGGAGGAAUACCGAUGGCGAAGGCAACCCCCUGGGAUAACACUGACGCUCAUGCACGAAAGCGUGGGGAGCAAACAGG